Molecule: ribosomal RNA, 440 nt
Filed under: Clostridioides difficile
Lineage: Bacteria; Bacillati; Bacillota; Clostridia; Peptostreptococcales; Peptostreptococcaceae
Description: bacterial SSU rRNA
Rfam family: Bacterial small subunit ribosomal RNA
Source: RNAcentral
CAACCCUUGUCUUUAGUUGCCAUCAUUAAGUUGGGCACUCUAGAGAGACUGCCAGGGAUAACCUGGAGGAAGGUGGGGAUGACGUCAAAUCAUCAUGCCCCUUAUGCUUAGGGCUACACACGUGCUACAAUGGGUAGUACAGAGGGUUGCCAAGCCGUAAGGUGGAGCUAAUCCCUUAAAGCUACUCUCAGUUCGGAUUGUAGGCUGAAACUCGCCUACAUGAAGCUGGAGUUACUAGUAAUCGCAGAUCAGAAUGCUGCGGUGAAUGCGUUCCCGGGUCUUGUACACACCGCCCGUCACACCACGGGAGUUGGAGACGCCCGAAGCCGAUUAUCUAACCUUUUGGAAGAAGUCGUCGAAGGUGGAAUCAAUAACUGGGGUGAAGUCGUAACAAGGUAGCCGUAUCGGAAGGUGCGGCUGGAUCACCUCCUUUCUAAGGA